UGUUUUCCCAAGGCAUAUGCGGGUCUAUGACCUCCAGCUAGGUGAUAGCCCUUGUACAAGAAAAUAACAAAGAUAGUUUAAAGUAAUCAAUAAAAUGGGAGACGUGACCGGGGACACAGGAGGCGGACUUCAUCGUAACACAAGCCUCUAGUACAUGAAGAAAUGCUUUCAAUGCAUGAAUGAAUACAUGAAUAAUUACCUCAACAUCUAGUCCAAACUGAAUGGCAAAGCUCUCAGCUUCAGCAAAUCUGUGUUUGUGAAGUAACCGACUCAAUCUGAAAAAUUGAAAAGAAAUUUCAGUAAAAUUUUUAUUAAUCAGAGAAGUCAAGUCUUUCAUUAAGCAAACAAAGGAUGCUGCGGCCACAUCCAGCCAUGAGGGAACUCAGGAUGGAGAUGAACAGGCUGCCCACUGGCCAGCCCUCAGUCACGGCAGCUACUCCCACGUGUACACCGAGGGGACUCUGGAUGGGGAAGCGCCUGAUACUGGCCCUGGGUGGUAAAGGUGCACAUAUCAAGGAAUGAUUUCAGUGAGCCCACUCUUGCAUCUUCCCAUACAUAGAAAACACUAAAUUCAAUUCAUUAACCUGAGAUACCUGAUUUUCUUCAGUUAACAGUACUCUUUUGAUGUUCUAACUAUAUGGUCUGUCUUGCAAAACUCCUAUAUAUCCCAGCUCCUCUCUUACUUCUUCAGAGCAGUCCCUCAGAGCUAUCUUGAGAGACUGCUCCCUGGGCUUAAAGUUCUCAGAAAGUCCACCCAAUAAAACGUAAUUCUCAACUUUCGGGUUAUGCAUUUUUUUCAGUUUCUAAGCUAUGAUUCUUAAAUUCAACGUUAAGAAGCAUUAUGCUUGUAAUUUAAAACACAAAUCAAGCAAAGCUUUGCUAGAGUUUUUAGCUAAGAGAUAGUUUAGAAUUUAGAUAAUGAAGAUGAAAAACAUAACAAGGUAACAAGCUCUUACAUUGGUGAGUAACGUUAACUUUGACGUUACAUGAAUAAGAUGUAGGUUGCCACUUCUCUCCCCAACCAAAAGAAACUUUCCUUCUUGACACAGGCCAACUACGUCCACUUCAGUAUCUGAAAAUUUCAAAUCAAAGUUAUGCCAAGCUUCCUCCAAAAAUGCUUAUUUUCAAUACAAAGAAUUGCAAAUUUUGUUAUUAAAAGUCAACGAUUUAAGAAGCUUCUUUUAAAUAUUUCAGGAAAGUACUAAUUAAUGGCAAAAGGAAUGCUACUGACUCUUAGUCAAUAAAUAUUUGCUGAGCACUGAUAGGCUAAGCAUUGUUCAAGGCCUUUUGUAUACAUCUGAGAAUAUUACCAAGAGUCCCAUCUUCAUGGAACUCAAAUGCUAAGGCAGAAAUAGAUGAUAAACAGUCAGCAAAACAAUCUAAUUAUAUGACACAAACAAAGGUGAUACAGAGGAGGGAAACAGAGCUCGGAAGAGCCAUGUGGUAUUAAUUGGUGUGCUCAGGACAGCUCCCUUUGUCAGAUCUAAACAAAAAUUUGAAGGAGGUGAGAAAGUCAUUGUUUGCACAAAAGCAAGAAGGCCAGGGGGAAGUGAAGACUGCA
Molecule: long non-coding RNA, 1561 nt
Organism: Bubalus bubalis (water buffalo)
Lineage: Eukaryota; Metazoa; Chordata; Mammalia; Artiodactyla; Bovidae
Exons: 3
Source: RefSeq, a predicted model, not a curated record